RNAcentral lists this ribosomal RNA (429 nucleotides) under Bacteroidota bacterium. RNAcentral's name for it is "Bacteroidetes bacterium partial 16S ribosomal RNA". It matches the Rfam family "Bacterial small subunit ribosomal RNA", at positions 355 to 776 of the family's 1533-position model. Lineage: Bacteria; Pseudomonadati; Bacteroidota. The record is from RNAcentral.
UAGGGAAUCUUCGGCAAUGGGGGGAACCCUGACCGAGCAACGCCGCGUGAGUGAAGAAGGUUUUCGGAUCGUAAAGCCCUGUUGUUAAGGAAGAACGAGUGUGAGAAUGGAAAGUUCAUACUGUGACGGUACUUAACCAGAAAGGGACGGCUAACUACGUGCCAGCAGCCGCGGUAAUACGUAGGUCCCGAGCGUUGUCCGGAUUUAUUGGGCGUAAAGCGAGCGCAGGCGGUUAGAUAAGUCUGAAGUUAAAGGCAGUGGCUCAACCAUUGUAGGCUUUGGAAACUGUUUAACUUGAGUGCAGAGGGGGGGAGUGGAAUUCCAUGUGUAGCGGUGAAAUGCGUAGAUAUAUGGAGGAACACCGGUGGCGAAAGCGGCUCUCUGGUCUGUAACUGACGCUGAGGCUCGAAAGCGUGGGGAGCGAACAGG